RNAcentral lists this ribosomal RNA (392 nucleotides) under uncultured bacterium. Its description in RNAcentral is "partial 16S ribosomal RNA". It matches the Rfam family "Bacterial small subunit ribosomal RNA", at positions 523 to 918 of the family's 1533-position model. The record is from RNAcentral.
AUACGGAGGAUCCGAGCGUUAUCCGGAUUUAUUGGGUUUAAAGGGUGCGCAGGCGGCCAUUUAAGUCAGCGGUUAAAUCGUGGGGCUCAACCCCAUUCUGCCGUUGAUACUGGGUGGCUUGAUUGCGGUCGGGGUUGGCGGAAUUCGUUGUGUAGCGGUGAAAUGCAUAGAUAUGACGAAGAACACCGAUUGCGUAGGCAGCUGACCAGACCGCAAAUGACGCUCAUGCACGAAAGGGCGGGGAUCGAACAGGAUUAGAUACCCUGGUAGUCCGCACAGUAAACGAUGAAUACUUGUUUUCGGCGAUAUAAUGUCGGAGGCAAAGCGAAAGCGAUAAGUAUUCCACCUGGGGAGUACGCCGGCAACGGUGAAACUCAAAUGAAUUGACGGGG